AGGUCACGGUGUGGGCAAUUUCUUAGUAGACUUUUGUACCUCUCCCAUGUCUCAUAAAGGGACUAUCCAGGUUGUUGUUCAAAGUUGGUUAUAACUUUCUUCAAUUU
Lactuca sativa (garden lettuce) is the source of this 107-nucleotide small nucleolar RNA. NCBI's taxonomy places the organism in Eukaryota, Viridiplantae, Streptophyta, Magnoliopsida, Asterales, Asteraceae. The record is from RefSeq and is a predicted model, not a curated record.